UUUUUUUUCACGUGGAAUUCCGGUAAAUUAGUAAAAAGAGUAAAAAGAGCGUUCAUUGAGAAAGCAGCUUGGAGUUGCUCGAAGUAGCUUUGACAGUUAUUUGUUGACAAAAAAUACGAGCUAGUACAACCAACCCCGAGCAAGUUCGAUAAAAGUCAUUGAACACAGCUAAUAUUAUCCGAGGAAAACCAUAAAACAUGAGACAGCUGAAGAUUACUGGUUCUGCAUUAUUGAAAAAGCCGGUGACGCCAAUGUUGACCGCAUCGUCACACCUUGGUUUACUUGCCGGACACAAAGGCUCCGACAAAGGGUACCACCAAGACAUGUCCCAGGCGAUAGACAACCCCCGAUGGAACGGAGCAGUUAGGCGUUGGUCUUCGGCGAAUUGUCACGCUCGAUGGUGUGUGCCGCUCUUCAAUGGAACUGCUGCAAAAGCACGGCAAGAAACUCAAUUUUCAACACGCCGCUGUGUGGACAAAGGGUUGCCGGGUUUACGAUCGGCGUGACCAACACCGUAACAUCUGCGAUUGUUGAGAUGCAGUUUGUGGACUAGACCAACGAAAUGACCUCAAUCGGAUGGGGAACAUCCAUGCGAUAAAGGAAGUGUUCGAUGUGGCGAAAAAAGCAUACGGAGCAAGGGGUGGAUCACUUGUUCAAUGCACAUUAAAUGUGCAUCAGUUUGCAUCAAAUGCAUUUUUUGGACAUUCACAUCAACUUAGCCCUGACCUGUUGUUGCCAUAUAGCAACGCGCCAUUGUUUGUUUUAAAAGUUUUGAAACCGUUUCCAACAAAAAUAAGCUUUCUCUGAUAUUAGGCAAAUAAUCGCAUGUUUUAUUUGUUUCAGGUUAUGAAGUAGUUGGUUCAAACUGGAAAUAUAUAAAAUUUGAAAUAGGAGCCUGACUGACGGUGCUCAGGGGUCUUUAAGCUAUUGGGCGUCUGAUUUUUGAGGACAUCAUACAUUUAUUCAAGGAAGAUCCCUGCGUACAACAUGGAGAAGAUAAACAUUGCUUAUCAGGAUUACAUUGUCCUACGUUCCCAUAAAAACAGUGCGCUUCAAAAUCUGGAUUAAUUGUAACAUUCUUCUCGAUCAACCAACAGUGUACGCUUUACUGGUGGCGAGUAUAAAUCCACAUCGAAUUUUCCAAUCCAAGUCUAGAUGGAAAUAUUCAAAAAUUACCCUCAACAAGGGUCUCGGAGUUCCGGAACAACUGUGUUUAAUUGUUUAAGUGUGGUUUAGUAAAUGAAUCAUUAUAAUAAAAAGGUUCGAGUCUUCGUCAAUUCAAUUUA
Aedes aegypti (yellow fever mosquito) is the source of this 1286-nucleotide long non-coding RNA. RefSeq lists it as uncharacterized. The transcript has 2 exons. The record is from RefSeq and is a predicted model, not a curated record. NCBI's taxonomy places the organism in Eukaryota, Metazoa, Arthropoda, Insecta, Diptera, Culicidae.